Alosa sapidissima (American shad) is the source of this 419-nucleotide long non-coding RNA. RefSeq lists it as uncharacterized. The transcript is spliced from 3 exons. Lineage: Eukaryota; Metazoa; Chordata; Actinopteri; Clupeiformes; Clupeidae. The record is from RefSeq and is a predicted model, not a curated record.
UGAACAGUUGAACUGUUACAGUUACAGUUUAAACAGAUACAGUCAAUGGUGUUGAAGUGUAGUCCUGAUUUGGGUCCAUGGGCUCCACACUGAAGGGGUCAGAGAGUCCUGGUCCAUCUCCAUCCAGAACAGGCAGAACCACAGGCUCAGGGUCCUGGUUGCAGACUGUGAUGGACAUCUUGAUGGUGGGAGGAUGGUCGUUUGCGUCAUCGAGCUCAAUGACCAGUGUCCCAGUGCCUGUGGCAGGAAUAUCAUCAUCUACAGUACAGGGGAAAAAAGAAAACAGAAAGGAAAUAAAUAAAUUGAGGACAUGUUUGUCAGUGCCUGCAGGCAGAUCCUCUGGUUUGGAGAUGAUCCUCUCACCUGGUCGGAAGACAGGGGCCUCAUUCUCAUCCUUCACUCUCACUGUCACUGACGCU